CGGGGGGGCAAGCGUUGUUCGGAAUUACUGGGCGUAAAGGGCCAGUAGGCGGCCAACUAAGUCCGACGUGAAAUCCCCAGGCUUAACCUGGGAACUGCGUCGGAUACUGGAUGGCUUGAAUUCGGGAGAGGGAUGCAGAAUUCCAGGUGUAGCGGUGAAAUGCGUAGAUAUCUGGAGGAAUACCGGUGGCGAAGGCGGCAUCCUGGACCGACAUUGACGCUGAACGGCGAAAGCUAGGGGAGCAAACGGGAUUAGAUACCCCGGUAGUCCUAGCCCUAAACGAUGAAUGCUUGGUGUGGCGGGUAUCGAUCCCUGCCGUGCCGAAGCUAACGCAUUAAGCAUUCCGCCUGGGGAGUACGGUCGCAAGGCUG
This 371-nucleotide ribosomal RNA is filed under the name uncultured organism. Its description in RNAcentral is "bacterial SSU rRNA". It matches the Rfam family "Bacterial small subunit ribosomal RNA", at positions 527 to 896 of the family's 1533-position model. The record is from RNAcentral.